AAAUGCUCAGAUUAAUAAACAAAAGGCAGAUGGAGCGCACCGAACAUGCGAGUGAAGCCACCAAAGCGAAUACAAAAUCAAAAGCGAAUACAAAGUCGCAGCAGUGCUAAAGAUAGCGUCGUAUUGUUUAAACGUCUCGAGUGAUUCAUUAUUUUUGUCAAAAAAUGCCGUCUUGUGUUAUUAAACAUUGUGAAAGUUGUUCCCAAAAAUAAAAAAAGAGGAUGGAAUUUCAUUUCACAGAUUGCCGACAGAUGUUGUUCUACGCGAGGAAUGGGUUUCUAUUAUUCGCUAAAGCAGGCAAGACAAUAAUUGGCAGGCUUCAUAAUUUUGCGUUGUGUGUUCAUUACAUUUUAAAGAGGAUGGCUUAUGCUUUACCGAAAAAUGUCGUAGGUUGAUAAAAAAAAAUUCCAAUGUAAUUAUUUGUAAUACUAUCUAAUCUUUUGGUCUAGUCUUUAAGUUUUCUGUAUAUCGAUGUAUGUGUGUGUGUGAAUAAAUGAUGAUGAUGAUUAUUAUUAUUAUUAUUAUUAAUAAAUAUUUUAUAUUA
This 544-nucleotide unclassified non-coding RNA is filed under the name Melitaea cinxia (Glanville fritillary). RNAcentral describes it as "misc RNA ENSMCXG00005010049.1". Lineage: Eukaryota; Metazoa; Arthropoda; Insecta; Lepidoptera; Nymphalidae. The record is from RNAcentral.